RNAcentral lists this ribosomal RNA (55 nucleotides) under Naganishia globosa. RNAcentral's name for it is "partial 26S ribosomal RNA". The record is from RNAcentral. Lineage: Eukaryota; Fungi; Basidiomycota; Tremellomycetes; Filobasidiales; Filobasidiaceae.
GGCCUCAAAUCAGGAGGACUACCCGCUGAACUUAAGCAUAUCAAUAAGCGGAGGA